GGACCAUCUAGUUGCGGGGAUACAAGCUCAGGACUCCCACUGAUUCUACAUUAUAAUGGCAUCAACACAGCUGCCACAGCUCCAGGCAAACAUCCACAUGCAACAUCCCAAGGUCUCACCCAGAUGUAGAAGAGAUUAAAUGACAGUUUGACACCUUUAAGGUCUGAAAAGAGAUAUUUACCGUAUUCUCCCUAAGGCUGCAUCUGGAGGUUUCAUCUACAUAACAAGAACCUUGGCUUCUGCAACCCCUCUUAUCUUAACUCAAGCAUUUACCUCAAGUCUGCAGACAAAGCUUAACUUUUUCAACCAAUUGCCAGUCAGAAAAUCUUUUAAUCCACCUGUGACCUGUAACCAGCCUCCCCCCCACUUUGAGAUUCCCACCUUUUUGGGGCAAAU
RNAcentral lists this long non-coding RNA (396 nucleotides) under Homo sapiens (human). RNAcentral's name for it is "HSALNT0196455". Lineage: Eukaryota; Metazoa; Chordata; Mammalia; Primates; Hominidae. The record is from RNAcentral.